AGGAAGCAGGAACUGAUGCCGAG
RNAcentral lists this unclassified non-coding RNA (23 nucleotides) under Mus musculus (house mouse). RNAcentral describes it as "oocyte_clustered_small_RNA11685". The record is from RNAcentral. Lineage: Eukaryota; Metazoa; Chordata; Mammalia; Rodentia; Muridae.